This 253-nucleotide ribosomal RNA is filed under the name uncultured bacterium. RNAcentral's name for it is "partial 16S ribosomal RNA". It matches the Rfam family "Bacterial small subunit ribosomal RNA", at positions 524 to 776 of the family's 1533-position model. The record is from RNAcentral.
UACAGAGGCCUCAAGCGUUGUUCGGAAUUACUGGGCGUAAAGGGAAUGUAGGUGGUUUUGUAAGUCAGAUGUGAAAGCCCUGGGCUCAACCCGGGAACUGCAUUUGAUACUGCGAAACUUGAGUGCGAUAGAGGAGAGCGGAAUUCCUAGUGUAGGAGUGAAAUCCGUAGAUAUUAGGAGGAAUACCGAUGGCGAAGGCAGCUCUCUGGCUCGUAACUGACACUGAGAUUCGAAAGCGUGGGUAGCAAACAGG